RNAcentral lists this unclassified non-coding RNA (386 nucleotides) under Hevea brasiliensis (rubber tree). Lineage: Eukaryota; Viridiplantae; Streptophyta; Magnoliopsida; Malpighiales; Euphorbiaceae. The record is from RNAcentral.
GGCUGUGAAGGAGGCUUCAAGCAUGAAAGACAGAAAGAGGAGAGAACAACCCCAAUCUAAGCGACAUAGCAUAAGUUAUAAAUAGAUAUACAUGUUUGGUUUGGUUAUUUUGUGUUUUUUCCUUACAAACAAAUCAAACUGAAAUAACUAAUGUUCUCAAUAUUCCGAAACCAAAACCGAACUUUAAAAAAACCAAAUCAAACUUCUAAAAAUCAAACUGGAAAACUGAAUUCAAUCGAUUCAUUUUUUCAGUUAUAACCAUUUAUUGUUGCUUAGCCCUAACCCCCACCACAACAACCAUAGUAUAGCACCUAAUCCUCAGUUAAAAUUAAUGAAACAGAAGUGGGUCAAAAGAACUUUACCUUCAUGUGACGGCAAGUGUCUAG